RNAcentral lists this ribosomal RNA (516 nucleotides) under Polystira tellea. RNAcentral's name for it is "LSU rRNA". It matches the Rfam family "Bacterial large subunit ribosomal RNA", at positions 1817 to 2597 of the family's 2925-position model. Lineage: Eukaryota; Metazoa; Mollusca; Gastropoda; Neogastropoda; Turridae. The record is from RNAcentral.
GGCUCCUUGCUAAUAGAUAAAUAAGGAGUCGGACCUGCCCAGUGAAUUUUUUCAACGGCCGCGGUACUCUGACCGUGCAAAGGUAGCAUAAUCAUUUGCCUUAUAAUUGAAGGCUGGUAUGAAUGGUUUGACAAGAAUGUAGCUGUCUCUUUAUAAUUUAAUAGAACUUUAUUUUGGGGUGAAGAAGCUCCAAUUAAAUUAAAAGACAAGAAGACCCUAUCGAGCUUUAAAAAAAUUAAUGGAAUAUAUAGUAUUAAUACGAAGAUUAAAAAAUCAGCUAUUAAAGAUUUUGGUUGGGGCGACUAAGGAACAAAAAUAGCUUCCUUUAUACAUAUUAGAACAUACAGGUAUUGAUCCAAAAUUUUUGAUUAAAGAAAUUAGUUACCGUAGGGAUAACAGCAUUAUCCUCUUUGAGAGUUCUUAUCGAAAAGGGGGUUUGUGACCUCGAUGUUGGACCAGAAUAUCCUAAAGAUGUAGAAGUCUUUAAGGGUUGGUCUGUUCGACCAUUAAAAUUCU